RNAcentral lists this transfer RNA (71 nucleotides) under Rhipicephalus microplus (southern cattle tick). RNAcentral describes it as "tRNA-Gly". It matches the Rfam family "tRNA". Rfam says of the family: Transfer RNA (tRNA) molecules are approximately 80 nucleotides in length. Their secondary structure includes four short double-helical elements and three loops (D, anti-codon, and T loops). Further hydrogen bonds mediate the characteristic L-shaped molecular structure. tRNAs have two regions of fundamental functional importance: the anti-codon, which is responsible for specific mRNA codon recognition, and the 3' end, to which the tRNAs corresponding amino acid is attached (by aminoacyl-tRNA synthetases). tRNAs cope with the degeneracy of the genetic code in two manners: having more than one tRNA (with a specific anti-codon) for a particular amino acid; and 'wobble' base-pairing, i.e. permitting non-standard base-pairing at the 3rd anti-codon position. Lineage: Eukaryota; Metazoa; Arthropoda; Arachnida; Ixodida; Ixodidae. The record is from Rfam by way of RNAcentral.
GCGUUGGUGGUUCAGUGGUAGAAUACUCGCCUGCCACGCGGGUGACCCAGGUUCGAUUCCCGGCCGACGCA